GUUUAGUGGCGAACGGGUGAGUAACGCGUGAGUAACCUGCCCAAAAGUGGGGAAUAAUGUUUGGAAACGGACACUAAUACCGCAUAACAUAUAAUUAUCGCAUGAUAAAUAUAUCAAAGGAUUAAUUCGCUUAUGGAUGGACUCGCGUCCGAUUAGAUAGUUGGUGAGGUAACGGCCCACCAAGUCGACGAUCGGUAGCCGGACUGAGAGGUCGAUCGGCCACAUUGGGACUGAGACACGGCCCAGACUCC
RNAcentral lists this ribosomal RNA (251 nucleotides) under uncultured bacterium. Its description in RNAcentral is "partial 16S ribosomal RNA". It matches the Rfam family "Bacterial small subunit ribosomal RNA", at positions 90 to 339 of the family's 1533-position model. The record is from RNAcentral.